This is a long non-coding RNA of Formica exsecta, 550 nucleotides long. RefSeq lists it as uncharacterized. The record is from RefSeq and is a predicted model, not a curated record. Lineage: Eukaryota; Metazoa; Arthropoda; Insecta; Hymenoptera; Formicidae. The transcript has 2 exons.
UUCAUUUUUGCAGCUUUGGUUUGGUAACAAGUUAUUCACCGACGCUGCGGAUGAAUUAGAGUGAUCCGGCAUUAAAACUACGACGGAAAUUGAGAGUUUUGUAGCUCUCGCUGAGCGUGCGGCGGUAAUCGCAGGAGACAAUCGCGCGCGUAGAGCUCCUGUGGAAUUUCGGAAUCCAUUGGUGGACACUCUUAUGGAGGAUCCAGUCAAGCUACCGUCUGGUAUUGUUGUGGACAAAGGACUUAUUAUUAGACAUUUACUCAACAGUGCCACGGAUCCUUUCAAUCUGCAGCCGCUUAUGCCCGAAGAUAUGCUCGUGCCAAUGCCCGAUUUGAAAGAAAGAAUAUCAAUAUGGAAACAACAAAAGAAACAGUGCUAAGGUGACAAGAAUUAUGCACAUAAAAAUAAGAAUAUAGGGAAGGAAAGAAAAAGAAAAUAAUGUAACACAAUAAACAUACAGCAAUAUUAUGAAUAAUAAAAAUAAUAUUCACUUCUGCUCUCUCUUUCGAGGAUUUUGGGCUGUAUAAUAGUAGUAUGAAACUAUCAAAAC